This 470-nucleotide ribosomal RNA is filed under the name uncultured bacterium. Its description in RNAcentral is "bacterial SSU rRNA". It matches the Rfam family "Bacterial small subunit ribosomal RNA", at positions 29 to 518 of the family's 1533-position model. The record is from RNAcentral.
AACGAACGCUGGCGGCAGGCUUAACACAUGCAAGUCGAACGGUUGUAGCAAUACAGCAGUGGCAGACGGGUGAGUAACACGUGGGAACCUUCCUAGGGGUACGGAACAACUCAGGGAAACUUGAGCUAAUACCGUAUACGUCCGUGAGGAGAAAGAUUUAUCGCCCUUAGACGGGCCCGCGUCGGAUUAGCUAGUUGGUGGGGUAACGGCCUACCAAGGCGACGAUCCGUAGCUGAUCUUAGAGGAUGAUCAGCCACACUGGGACUGAGACACGGCCCAGACUCCUACGGGAGGCAGCAGUGGGGAAUUUUGGACAAUGGGCGCAAGCCUGAUCCAGCAAUGCCGCGUGCAGGAAGAAGGCCUUCGGGUGUAAACUGCUUUUGUACGGAACGAAACGGUCUGAGUUAAUACCUCGGGCUAAUGACGGUACCGUAAGAAUAAGCACCGGCUAACUACGUGCCAGCAGCCGC